RNAcentral lists this ribosomal RNA (247 nucleotides) under uncultured bacterium. RNAcentral describes it as "partial 16S ribosomal RNA". It matches the Rfam family "Bacterial small subunit ribosomal RNA", at positions 108 to 353 of the family's 1533-position model. The record is from RNAcentral.
GAGUAACGCGUGGGUAACCUGCCUCAUACAGGGGGAUAACAGUUAGAAAUGACUGCUAAUACCGCAUAAGCGCACAGGAUCGCAUGGUCUGGUGUGAAAAACUCCGGUGGUAUGAGAUGGACCCGCGUCUGAUUAGCUAGUUGGAGGGGUAACGGCCCACCAAGGCGACGAUCAGUAGCCGGCCUGAGAGGGUGAACGGCCACAUUGGGACUGAGACACGGCCCAGACUCCUACGGGAGGCAGCAUG